AGUGAACGCUGGCGGUAGGCCUAACACAUGCAAGUCGAACGGCAGCACAGUAAGAGCUUGCUCUUACGGGUGGCGAGUGGCGGACGGGUGAGGAAUACAUCGGAAUCUACUUUUUCGUGGGGGAUAACGUAGGGAAACUUACGCUAAUACCGCAUACGACCUACGGGUGAAAGCAGGGGAUCUUCGGACCUUGCGCGAUUGAAUGAGCCGAUGUCGGAUUAGCUAGUUGGCGGGGUAAAGGCCCACCAAGGCGACGAUCCGUAGCUGGUCUGAGAGGAUGGUCAGCCACACUGGAACUGAGACACGGUCCAGACUCCUACGGGGGGCAGCAGUGGGGAAUAUUGGACAAUGGGCGCAAGCCUGAUCCAGCCAUACCGCGUGGGUGAAGAAGGCCUUCGGGUUGUAAAGCCCUUUUGUUGGGAAAGAAAAGCAGCAGGUUAAUACCCCGCUGUUCUGACGGUACCCAAAGAAUAAGCACCGGCUAACUUCGUG
This 492-nucleotide ribosomal RNA is filed under the name uncultured bacterium. RNAcentral's name for it is "partial 16S ribosomal RNA". It matches the Rfam family "Bacterial small subunit ribosomal RNA", at positions 29 to 507 of the family's 1533-position model. The record is from RNAcentral.